Molecule: RNase P RNA, 377 nt
Filed under: Staphylococcus equorum
Lineage: Bacteria; Bacillati; Bacillota; Bacilli; Caryophanales; Staphylococcaceae
Description: RNase P RNA component class B
Rfam family: Bacterial RNase P class B
About the family: Ribonuclease P (RNase P) is a ubiquitous endoribonuclease, found in archaea, bacteria and eukarya as well as chloroplasts and mitochondria. Its best characterised activity is the generation of mature 5'-ends of tRNAs by cleaving the 5'-leader elements of precursor-tRNAs. Cellular RNase Ps are ribonucleoproteins.
Source: RNAcentral
UGUUUUGGGUGAUCGCUAUAGCAAUAUAGAGGAAAGUCCAUGCUCACACAAUCUGAGAUGAUUGUAGUGUUCGUGCUUGAUGAAACAAUAAGUCAAGGCAUUAAUUUGACGGCAAUGAAAUAACCUAAGUCUUUUAGAUACGGUUAAAAUAGUUUGAAAGUGCCACAGUGACGUAGCUUUUAUAGAAAUAUAAAAGGUGGAACGCGGUAAACCCCUCGAGUGAGCAAUCCAAAUUAGGUAGGAGCACUUAUUUAACGGAAUUCAACGUAUAAAUAAGACAUGCUUUUUAAAAGUAUGUAGACAGAUGGUUACCACCAGCGUACGAGUGUCUCUAGUACACGAUGGCAGUACAACGGUACAAAACAUGGCUUACAGAA